Molecule: ribosomal RNA, 900 nt
Filed under: Gymnoglyphus longior
Lineage: Eukaryota; Metazoa; Arthropoda; Arachnida; Sarcoptiformes; Pyroglyphidae
Description: partial 16S ribosomal RNA
Source: RNAcentral
UUUUAGUAUUUAGUUUAAAUUAUAUUAUAUAUAUUUAUUUUUUUUUGAUAUUAGAAUCCCCGUGAGGGAGUGGUUUUAGUUUAUUGAUUACCUUUUGUAUAAGGGUUAGUAGAAGUUAAAUUGUUUGCUUUUUAUUAGAAUAAAAAAGAUCUUACAUUAGUUAUUAAUAUUAGAAUUAAUUUAAAAUUUUUGUAAUGAGUGAUACGCUUUGGUUUUUUUAAUUAACUAAAUAUUUAUUUAAUAAGGAGGGGGUAAAACUCUUUCUUAAAAAUUUUAUUUUUUUUAUGUUUUCCUUAAUAGUAGGGGUUUGUGUAGUAACUAUAGAACUUUAUUUAUUAUAUUACUUGUUUUAACUUAUUUUUAAAUUAUUAGAUUAGUAGAGAUGUAUUAGAUUUUAUUUUUAUUUUAUUAUAAUUAAUAUUUAUAAAUAUUACUUUUAUGUUACUAAUUAAACCUAAGACUGGUUAUUUAAACCAUAGUUGUAAUGUUUAUAAUUGUUUCUGCUCUAUGUUUUUAUUAAUGGCUGUGAUUUUCACACUAAGGUAGCGAAGUCAUUAGUUAUUUUAUUGAUAACCUGUAUGAAUGAGGUUUCUUAGGUUAAAUUCUUUUUUAUUUUUAAAUUAUAUUGUUGUUGAAAAUAACAAUAUAUUCCUUAAGACUAAAAGACCCUGGGAUUUUUAUACUCUUUAAGUAUUUGGUUGGGGAAAUAAUAUUAUUUAAAUAAAAAUAUUUUGUUAUUUUAUUGAACUUUUAUUAAAGAUAGAUGGAAAAAUACCCCAGGGAUAACAGCUUAAUUAUUUUUAUUAGUUCUUAUAUGUAAAAUAGUUUAAGACCUCGAUGUUGGAUUGAAAUUAUUUUUAGGUGUAGAGACUUAGAGAGUAAGACUGUUCGUCUUUUAAA